CGCGCAGGCGGUCGUUCAAGUCGAGUGUGAAAGCCCCCGGCUCAACUGGGGAGGGUCAUUCGAUACUGAUCGACUGGAAGGCAGGAGAGGGAAGCGGAAUUCCCGGUGUAGUGGUGAAAUGCGUAGAUAUCGGGAGGAACACCAGUGGCGAAGGCGGCUUCCUGGCCUGUUCUUGACGCUGAGGCGCGAAAGCUAGGGAGCAAACG
RNAcentral lists this ribosomal RNA (206 nucleotides) under uncultured bacterium. Its description in RNAcentral is "partial 16S ribosomal RNA". It matches the Rfam family "Bacterial small subunit ribosomal RNA", at positions 568 to 774 of the family's 1533-position model. The record is from RNAcentral.